This 1252-nucleotide ribosomal RNA is filed under the name uncultured Campylobacterota bacterium. RNAcentral's name for it is "bacterial SSU rRNA". It matches the Rfam family "Bacterial small subunit ribosomal RNA", at positions 220 to 1500 of the family's 1533-position model. The record is from RNAcentral. Lineage: Bacteria; Pseudomonadati; Campylobacterota.
GUAGGAGGAGGGCUUUCCGUUCCAGGUGGUGGGGAGGAAAGGCUCAACACACCCAAAGCCGCCUAGUUGUUUUGAAGGGAUAUCACCCCCCCGGGAAAUGAACCCGGUCCAAACUUCUGCGGGGAGCAACAGGGGGGAAUUUUGCCAAAUGGGGGAACCCCUGAUCCACAACCCCGCGUGGAGGAUGACGCAUUUCGGGUGGUAAACUCCUUUUAAUUCCCAAGAUAAUGACGGUAGGAUAUGAAUAAGCCCCGGCUAACUCCGUGCCAGCAGCCGCGGUAAUACGGAGGGUGCAGGCGUUACUCGGAAUCACUGGGCGUAAAGCGCGCGCAGGCGGCCAUUUAAGUUGGAUGUGAAAGCCUACGGCUCAACCGUAGAACUGCAUCCAAAACUAUUUGGCUAGAGUGUGGGAGAGGAAGAUGGAAUUAGUUGUGUAGGGGUAAAAUCCGUAGAGAUAACUAGGAAUACCAAAAGCGAAGGCAAUCUUCUGGAACACUACUGACGCUGAGGCGCGAAAGCGUGGGGAGCAAACAGGAUUAGAUACCCUGGUAGUCCACGCAGUAAACGAUGAAUGUUAGUCGUCGGGUAGCUAGUCUAUUCGGUGAUGCAGCUAACGCAUUAAACAUUCCGCCUGGGGAGUACGGUCGCAAGAUUAAAACUCAAAGGAAUAGACGGGGACCCGCACAAGUGGUGGAGCAUGUGGUUUAAUUCGAAGAUACGCGAAGAACCUUACCUGGCCUUGACAUAUUUUAGAAUUCUUUAGAGAUAGAGAAGUGCCUUCGGGAGCUAAUAUACAGGUGCUGCACGGCUGUCGUCAGCUCGUGUCGUGAGAUGUUGGGUUAAGUCCCGCAACGAGCGCAACCCUCGUCACUAGUUACUAACGGUUCGGCCGAGGACUCUAGUGAGACUGCCUUCGCAAGGAGGAGGAAGGUGAGGACGACGUCAAGUCAUCAUGGCCCUUACGGCCAGGGCAACACACGUGCUACAAUGGUUAGGACAAUGAGACGCGAUACCGCGAGGUGGAGCAAAUCUAUAAACCUAAUCUCAGUUCGGAUUGUUCUCUGCAACUCGAGAGCAUGAAGCUGGAAUCACUAGUAAUCGUAGAUCAGCUAUGCUACGGUGAAUACGUUCCCGGGUCUUGUACUCACCGCCCGUCACACCAUGGGAGUUGAUUUCACCCGAAGCGGGGAAGCUAAACUGGCUACCCUCCACGGUGGAAUUAGCGACUGGGGUGAAGUCGUAACAAGGUACC